Long non-coding RNA from Gallus gallus (chicken), 1206 nucleotides. RefSeq lists it as uncharacterized. The transcript is spliced from 4 exons. Lineage: Eukaryota; Metazoa; Chordata; Aves; Galliformes; Phasianidae. The record is from RefSeq and is a predicted model, not a curated record.
GAAGCAAAGAGAGUGCGCAGUUGCACCGGGAACCCAUUGCCAGGAACCCAUUGCCAGCAUGGGAGUUACGUAGCAAUUUAUAUCCUAAAGCCCUUUUGGGAGCAAGCCUUCUGUUGGAGGGAAGCGCUGCCCCGAAGCCACAGUUUGAGCCGAGGGCUCAGCACUGCUCUUAACACACUUGGAGCCCUCCAGCCCAGCCCUACGAGGGGACGCCCUGUGCCAGCGUGGCAUCCCACAUCACUCAGCGGGGCUCUCAGGGACCGGCCAGGACCAGGACUUUGGAGCAAAUGCCUUUAUUUCCAUGCCAUCAGAAGGAGGGUGUCAGGCUCCGUGGCAUUUCGGGCUGCUGCAACAGGCUCUGCACGAUGGACCAGCUGUGACCACAGGCAACAGAGGUUUAACAUCUAACUUCACUUUCAAGCCACAUCUUGCCUUCUGAAAUGUCUCCAUGGAGACCUGCACGUGCUCCGGAGGGCCCCGAUGGCCAAUCUGCAGGUUUCUCUAUAUCCCAAUUUUCCUUAUCGUACUGUAUCCCACAGACACUGCUUCUCCAUCCAUCUCCCCACCUGCAUUAAUCCCCUCUCCCCCCUUUUCCCCAGCAGCAGGGCUGAACCCCACUACCUGUGGCAUCUCCCACGCUUCCAGACCUCAUCUGCCCCACAGCAACGUGUGUGUGCAGAAAUACCUGAACAAACAGCAUGUCCAGCUGGCGGCUUCCCUGGGCAUUGGGCAUCCAGGCAGGUACCUUAGCACAGGGUUUAGGAACAUGGUCAGUGGGAUGGGUUGGGGUUGGACUCAAGGAUCUUGGAGGUCUUUUCCAACCUUAACAAUCCGAUGAUAAUGACCUCGUGGUGGUGAUGCUUGGAGGUUGGCUUCCUUCUGGGAGGGAUCCAGGGGAGAGAGGGUUCUGCAACACCUUGAGCAUCACGUUGUUGCACACCAGUAGACACUUGGAUCAGCUUUCUUUGACUGGGAUUUGAAUUCUUGGGUGUGGAUCAGCUGUAUUGCUAUGGAGUGAAAGAAAAGAACUCGCUGGUUGCAAUCAAUCAAUCCACAGGUGAAGUGGUGCUGAUCUGUACCAGCUGAGAAACCAGGAUCAUAGAAUCAUAGAAUCGCUAAGGUUGGAAAAGACCCACAGGAUCAUCCAGUCCAACCAUUCACCCAUCACCAAUGGUUCUCACUAAUCCAUGUCCCUUAACACAACAU